Cicer arietinum (chickpea) is the source of this 501-nucleotide non-coding RNA. The record is from RefSeq and is a predicted model, not a curated record. NCBI's taxonomy places the organism in Eukaryota, Viridiplantae, Streptophyta, Magnoliopsida, Fabales, Fabaceae.
AGAAAGUUAACAGCUAACUAAUGUGCUUUAUUUUGUAGGAAGUUCCCUCCCUCUUUUUACUAAUUGCUUUUGCCAUAGUCAUUAUUAUCUAUCUGUCUUCCAUCACAACCCCCAUCUAUGAACUAACCAUCCUACUAAAUAAGAAUGCUGUUCCUUCACAAUUGUUUUUCUGCAAAGCACAGUACACACACUCCAUGGUAAAAUAACUGUGACUAAGAGCUGACAGAAGGAAAACAGUGAGAAAUGUUUGCAUGUAUGCUUCUGUCAGAUCAGAUUAUGAGAUUUCUCUUCUGGAAACAGGGUUAGGGAAGUAAUCUUGAAACUUUACUUUCACAAUAUGAGAAGAGAAGUAUUUCCUCGUGCUUGUUUCUUUCCCUGCUGAGAAGAAUUCCUGCAGCUAAGGAUCUAAACAGAGGGGUAACUUGAAGAGGGGAACUGAACUCUGUACUUGAUAAGGAAGAAACAAUACCAUCAAUGUUUAUCUGUUCCUCACAAGAUGAG